Molecule: microRNA precursor, 85 nt
Organism: Mandrillus leucophaeus (drill)
Lineage: Eukaryota; Metazoa; Chordata; Mammalia; Primates; Cercopithecidae
Source: Ensembl
UAUUAGGUUGGUGCAAAAGUGAUUGUGGUUUUCACAAUUACUUUUAAUGGUAAAAACCACAUUUACUAUUAUAACAACCUAAUAA